UACAGAGGUGGCAAGUGUUGUUCGGAUUUACUGGGCGUAAAGGGUCCGCAGGCGGCUUUGUGUGUCAGAUGUGAAAGCCCACGGCUUAACCGUGGAAAUGCAUUUGAAACUACAGAGCUAGAGUACGGGAGAGGAGAGGGGAAUUCAUGGUGUAGCGGUGAAAUGCGUAGAUAUCAUGAAGAACACCGGUGGCGAAAGCGCCUCUCUGGACCGAUACUGACGCUCAUGGACGAAAGCUAGGGGAGCAAAGAGG
RNAcentral lists this ribosomal RNA (253 nucleotides) under uncultured bacterium. RNAcentral's name for it is "partial 16S ribosomal RNA". It matches the Rfam family "Bacterial small subunit ribosomal RNA", at positions 524 to 776 of the family's 1533-position model. The record is from RNAcentral.